UGGGUCGGCAAGACGGUCGCGGCACCGCCUGAUUCAUCAGGCAGUGCCGAGGAACGUCCGGGCUCCACAGAGCAGGGUGGUGGGUAACACCCACCCGGGGUAACCCGCGAGACAGUGCAACAGAGAGUAAACCGCCUCCGGUUCGCCGGAGGUAAGGGUGAAACGGUGGUGUAAGAGACCACCAGCAGUUUGGGUGACCAGAUUGGCUAGGUAAACCUCGCCCGGAGCAAGGUCAGACAGAUAACGCUAUGGUUGCUCGCCUAGUUAUCGGGUAGACCGCUAGAGAGUUGUGGUAACGCACCUCCGAGAUAGAUGGCCGUCCACGAAGCGAAAGCUUCCGGACAGAACCCGGCGUAUUAGCUGGCCCAUUCG
This 372-nucleotide RNase P RNA is filed under the name Actinomycetales bacterium. RNAcentral describes it as "RNase P RNA component class A". It matches the Rfam family "Bacterial RNase P class A". From Rfam's summary of the family: Ribonuclease P (RNase P) is a ubiquitous endoribonuclease, found in archaea, bacteria and eukarya as well as chloroplasts and mitochondria. Its best characterised activity is the generation of mature 5'-ends of tRNAs by cleaving the 5'-leader elements of precursor-tRNAs. Cellular RNase Ps are ribonucleoproteins. The record is from RNAcentral. Lineage: Bacteria; Bacillati; Actinomycetota; Actinomycetes; Actinomycetales.